GUCUACAGCCAUACUACCUUGAAUGUACCUAAUCUCAUCUAAUCCCAGAAGCUAAGUAGGGUCAGUUCUGGUUACUAUGUGGAUGGGAGUAAGCUAUAGAUU
RNAcentral lists this ribosomal RNA (102 nucleotides) under Microcebus murinus (gray mouse lemur). The record is from RNAcentral. Lineage: Eukaryota; Metazoa; Chordata; Mammalia; Primates; Cheirogaleidae.